Molecule: long non-coding RNA, 1022 nt
Filed under: Equus asinus (donkey)
Lineage: Eukaryota; Metazoa; Chordata; Mammalia; Perissodactyla; Equidae
Description: lncRNA (ENSEASG00005030731.1)
Source: RNAcentral
UCUCUCCGAAUUCUUGAAUUCUUCAGCCCGGGCCGCCGCUGCCCUCCUGGUCCCUCCGGGCCGCACGCGCGGCAGGGAGCGAGCAGCAUCCGGUCCCUUCCGGAGCGCGCAGGCGGCGCCUUCUCAGCGUGCGCCCGGGGUGGGUCGACAGCGACCGGGACGGGAGGCGGGAGCGUUCCCGGAGGCUGCGGAGAGCCCCGCUUUGUCUCAAGGGACCGCUGGGAAGUUUCCUCCUUUUCCCGCCCGCAUCCCUCUCCUUCCAGGUGCUCCAGGAAGUCGCCGGAGCUGAAGGUGAAGAAACUGAGGCCCAGAAAGGUGCUAGCAGCAAUAGUGAGGGUGGAUGUAAAAGGGAAUACUUUAUAAGCCACUUCCCUGGCUAAAAUGCUAAUUGCCACAAACUGAUCAUCAUUUGAAUGAAGAGUGUUAAAACUGAAAAACAGUGAAUACCAAGACUAACAGAAUUUUUAGCUGAGCGUUGGACCACCUGGAAUAAAUACUUCCCAGAUGCCUUUGAGCUAGUGUUGCCAUUUAACUAAGUUCUGGCCAGUGAGAUGUAAGUGGAACUGCCCUGUGGCAGCUUGAGAACCUUCCUGAAGAGAAGGCUGGGACAUGUUUUUUGUCAGUCUUCUCUCACAUUCCUCCAUCUUCCUGCCUGGAACACAGAUGUUUUGGACAAUGAAGUUGAAACAUCACAUUAUGAAGGAACCAGAGAAAAAGAGCCGGGCUCUCUGCAUAUGGAGCACCAUAUUAGCCCUGAACUGCCUGCAUGGACUUUAAAACAAGAGAGAAAUAAACAUUUAUCCUGCUUAAGCCACUGCAGUUAGGGCUUUCUGUCAGUUCCAGUCAAACCUAACCCUACUGAACGCACCAGCUUUAAGGUUCACUGAGUCCACGUGGGGAGCAAACCACUACCUAUUUAAAAUCCAAUUAAAAAGACAUAGACUGUUUUUCUUUGUUCUUGUGGAUAACACAGAUAAAAAAGAAAAACAAACAAAAAUAGAUAUCAUAGUGGAAAACAUUUU